AAUCAACGCUGGCGGCGUGCCUCAGACAUGCAAGUCGAACGUGAAAGGCUUCUUCGGAAGCCGAGUAAAGUGGCGCACGGGUGAGUAACACGUGAGUAAUCUGCCUUCACGGUGGGGGAUACCAAUCGGAAACGGUUGUUAAUACCGCAUAAUGCAGCGGCAUCAUAAGAUGACAGUUGUUAAAGCGGGGGAGCGAAGCAAUUCGUCCUCGCGCCGGAAGAGGAGCNCGCGGCAGAUUAGGUAGUUGGUGAGGUAACGGCUCACCAAGCCUGCGAUCUGUAACCGGCCUGAGAGGGCGGUCGGUCACACUGACACUUAGAUACGGGUCAGACUCCUACGGGAGGCAGCAGUCGGGAAGUUUUGGGCAAUGGGCGCAAGCCUGACCCAGCAACG
RNAcentral lists this ribosomal RNA (393 nucleotides) under uncultured bacterium. RNAcentral describes it as "bacterial SSU rRNA". It matches the Rfam family "Bacterial small subunit ribosomal RNA", at positions 32 to 396 of the family's 1533-position model. The record is from RNAcentral.